Molecule: ribosomal RNA, 253 nt
Filed under: uncultured bacterium
Lineage: Bacteria
Description: partial 16S ribosomal RNA
Rfam family: Bacterial small subunit ribosomal RNA
Source: RNAcentral
UACGAAGGGGACUAGCGUUGUUCGGAAUCACUGGGCGUAAAGCGCACGUAGGCGGAUGUGUCAGUCAGGGGUGAAAUCCCGGGGCUCAACCUCGGAACUGCCUUUGAUACAGCACGUCUCGAGUCCGGAAGAGGUGGGUGGAAUUCCUAGUGUAGAGGUCAAAUUCGUAGAUAUUAGGAAGAACACCGGUGGCGAAGGCGGCCCACUGGUCCGGUACUGACGCUGAGGUGCGAAAGCGUGGGGAGCAAACAGG